Molecule: ribosomal RNA, 497 nt
Filed under: uncultured bacterium
Lineage: Bacteria
Description: partial 16S ribosomal RNA
Rfam family: Bacterial small subunit ribosomal RNA
Source: RNAcentral
GAUGAACGCUGGCGGCGUGCCUAAUACAUGCAAGUCGAGCGAACGGACGAGAAGCUUGCUUCUCUGAUGUUAGCGGCGGACGGGUGAGUAACACGUGGAUAACCUACCUAUAAGACUGGGAUAACUUCGGGACACCGGAGCUAAUACCGGAUAAUAUUUUGAACCGCAUGGUUCAACAGUGAAAGACGGUCUUGCUGUCACUUAUAGAUGGAUCCGCGCUGCAUUAGCUAGUUGGUAAGGUAACGGCUUACCAAGGCAACGAUGCAUAGCCGACCUGAGAGGGUGAUCGGCCACACUGGAACUGAGACACGGUCCAGACUCCUACGGGAGGCAGCAGUAGGGAAUCUUCCGCAAUGGGCGAAAGCCUGACGGAGCAACGCCGCGUGAGUGAUGAAGGUCUUCGGAUCGUAAAACUCUGUUAUUAGGGAAGAACAUAUGUGUAAGUAACUGUGCACAUCUUGACGGUACCUAAUCAGAAAGCCACGGCUAACUACGUG